Molecule: ribosomal RNA, 305 nt
Filed under: uncultured bacterium
Lineage: Bacteria
Description: bacterial SSU rRNA
Rfam family: Bacterial small subunit ribosomal RNA
Source: RNAcentral
CCUACGGGGCGCAGCAGUGAGGAAUAUUGGUCAAUGGACGCAAGUCUGAACCAGCCAUGCCGCGUGCAGGAUGACGGCUCUAUGAGUUGUAAACUGCUUUUGUACGAGGGUAAACCCCGAUACGUGUAUCGGGUUGAAAGUAUCGUACGAAUAAGGAUCGGCUAACUCCGUGCCAGCAGCCGCGGUAAUACGGAGGAUCCGAGCGUUAUCCGGAUUUAUUGGGUUUAAAGGGUGCGUAGGCGGGAUAUUAAGUCAGCGGUAAAAUCGAGGGGCUCAACCCCUUUCAGCCGUUGAAACUGGUAUUC